RNAcentral lists this ribosomal RNA (448 nucleotides) under uncultured Allobrachymonas sp. RNAcentral describes it as "bacterial SSU rRNA". It matches the Rfam family "Bacterial small subunit ribosomal RNA", at positions 929 to 1382 of the family's 1533-position model. Lineage: Bacteria; Pseudomonadati; Pseudomonadota; Betaproteobacteria; Burkholderiales; Comamonadaceae. The record is from RNAcentral.
GCGGUGGAUGAUGUGGUUUAAUUCGAUGCAACGCGAAAACCUUACCCACCUUUGACAUGGCAGGAAUCCCGAAGAGAUUUGGGAGUGCUCGAAAGAGAACCUGCACACAGGUGCUGCAUGGCUGUCGUCAGCUCGUGUCGUGAGAUGUUGGGUUAAGUCCCGCAACGAGCGCAACCCAUGCCAUUAGUUGCUACGAAAGGGCACUCUAAUGGGACUGCCGGUGACAAACCGGAGGAAGGUGGGGAUGACGUCAAGUCCUCAUGGCCCUUAUAGGUGGGGCUACACACGUCAUACAAUGGCCGGUACAGAGGGUAGCCAACCCGCGAGGGGGAGCCAAUCCCACAAAGCCGGUCGUAGUCCGGAUCGCAGUCUGCAACUCGACUGCGUGAAGUCGGAAUCGCUAGUAAUCGCGGAUCAGCAUGUCGCGGUGAAUACGUUCCCGGGUCUU